UCCCAAAACCAAGCUACUAAAGCUAGACGGCUUGGAAGGCUUCAGAGACUAUGUCCUAUCCCUUUUCAGCCAGCGUCUAACUAUAAAGUACUCCGAAGUUAAAGCAAGUCGCUAUAUCGACAAGAUCAAACCUAUGUUGAAUGUAUACGCCAAAGAAAGGCCUUUGCUAUGUGAUUGGAAGUUCAGAGAGCCCACCGAUGUCUCCUUCAUCAAAUCCCACAAGAAGAUUGCAGAGGAGCAAGCAAGUUUUUGGAAGGGUAUGGAAGAGAAGUUAACGCCAAAGAUAAUACAAGGAGGUAAAGGUAGAGGUGGUGAUAGUAGCUUGAGGAAUGCUGCAGGAAAAAAUAAUCCUUCAGCUGUUACGGCUAAACAAGAGGUCGCAGCAGCAACGGUCUCUGAGGUAGGAGGAAGUUCGAGAAGUGCUAUACCUCGUGUCCCUAGACAGAAAAUGCCUGAUGAGAUCAAGAGGGCGAUACCAAAGGCCUUGAAGAAGGUGUUUCAGACGCAGAAAGUUUGCAGCUACGAGACGAUUUGCCAGAGACUUAGGGAUCUUGCGGUUGCUACUUCGAAUAAUCCGAGAGUUGAUUCAGGGAUGGCGCAACAGGUGGCGUUAGCUGUAGAUUCUUACCAAGAAGAGCUCAAAGUCGUUAUCAGUGAAGUGACUGUUGAUAUUCACGGCUCUUUUGUCUCCAAGUCGUCUCAAGACCAUCCAGAAUAUGAUCCACUCAGGUUCUUUUUUUUUUUUUUUGUGUUGGCGUCGAUGCCACCAAAGUCUCUGACCAUCCCAAGGUUGAGCCUGAGGUCUUCAAUGGCGCUGUUAAGAUGGAGAUUGAUGCAAAAGUGGACAAGGAGCCGGAGACUACGGAGGUUGAGUUGAUGGAGGAAGAUCAUCAUCAGCUUCCACUGCAUCAGGAGGAGGAGAAGGAGAAGGAAGAAGAAGACGUUGUUGUUCGUGAAAUUGACGUUUUCUUUAAUCCCUCUAUUGAUGCCAACACUAAGGUUAGUAGUGCUAGUGAUUAGAUUCUUCAAAUUUAUAUGAUUUUUGGCUAAUUUUUUUGUGUAAUGAGGUCACAGCUUUAUGUUCUACAAUAUCCUCUAAGACCGUCUUGGCGUGCUUACGAAAUGGAUGAACGGUGUGAAGAAGUGAGUGUUACUUAUUCUUCUGUUUGUAUUAUUUUAAUGUUCUAAUGUUUUGUUUGUUUAUGUGUCUUUAAAGGUUAGAGUGAAUCCUUCUACCUCCCAGGUGGAAAUUGAUUUGUCCAUGGAUGUUCAUUCGAGCAACUACGACCCUGACGUUGGAAGUAAACUACGUAUGACUAAACAGGUCAGAUUCUAGUUCAUCCAAGGUUAGAAUUCAAGUUUAAUCUUUUUUUUUGAAGCAACUUCAUUUUGCCUUUUGUUGUUUUUGGUAGACAUUGACAACAACAUGGAAGCAGCCUCCUACGUUGGAUUAUGCCGUUGGUGUUCUUUCAGGUGAUAAGGUAUUAUUAUUGUCUUCUCUCUUUUCGAAGCUUUGAUAACAACAUUCCUGUGAUACCUUAUUGAAUUUGGACUUGUUUGACUUGCAGUUACAUUUGAACCCUGUUCAUGCUGUUGUUCAGCUCCGACCAUCUAUGCAGUAUCUUUCUUCCAAAAAGAAUCUAGCUGAAGCUCCCGAAGAAUCUGCCGGAACUUCAAAAAGACAGGUAUGGAUUUGGCUACUUAUGCCACCGUUUACAUGAUUCUAAUCUUGAGUCUAAUUACUAUGUGGCAGAACAAGGGAGCACAGGCUUCAACGGAUCAGAAACCAGUUCCUGAAGAAGUAUGAUCUUUUCUGUUACUCUGAUUGUUGUUAGAUAUGGUUUGGUAAACUUAUGCCUCACUCUCUUUCUUCUUUCUUUUAGAAGUGGGUUUCACUCAAGUAUCAUGGACUUCAAUCCGAAUAUUGCUCCAGAUACCUUAGCGGAAUGAUGGCUAAUGGCAACUCUUCAAUAGACUUCAACAUGACCCCGUAUGAUCUCUUCCUUUUCACUGUUCUCUUGAUGCAAUAUGUGUUUUUUUUUCUGCUCACCUUAAACUCUGUUUCUAUCCAUUGAAGGGAUGCUUAUAUCAACUCACUGUGCCGUGGAGAUAACAGCAGAAACUCUGAGUCAAAAAGUUUAUCGAAAAGGUGCAGUCUCAUGUGUCAAGCGAGUCAACAUUUGCAAGCUCUUUUAUAACAUAGUCUUCUGCUUUCAGGUUGUUGGCCUCCCUACCGCUUGAAGAACGUCUGCAAACGUUGCUCUGCCAGAAACAUGGACCACCGCUAUUUCGAUACAGUGUUCUUAAGCACUACGCCCCAGAGUUAUCAGACGAGGAGUUCUUAAAAGUCCUCCAACAAUACGCCUGUCUAGUUCAAGGCCUAUGGACUCCCAAAACCAAGCUACUAAAGCUAGACGGCUUGGAAGGCUUCAGAGACUAUGUCCUAUCCCUUUUCAGCCAGCGUCUAACUAUAAAGUACUCCGAAGUUAAAGCAAGUCGCUAUAUCGACAAGAUCAAACCUAUGUUGAAUGUAUACGCCAAAGAAAGGCCUUUGCUAUGUGAUUGGAAGUUCAGAGAGCCCACCGAUGUCUCCUUCAUCAAAUCCCACAAGAAGAUUGCAGAGGAGCAAGCAAGUUUUUGGAAGGGUAUGGAAGAGAAGUUAACGCCA
RNAcentral lists this long non-coding RNA (2668 nucleotides) under Brassica napus (rape). RNAcentral's name for it is "long non-coding RNA (BNAP_LNC020575)". Lineage: Eukaryota; Viridiplantae; Streptophyta; Magnoliopsida; Brassicales; Brassicaceae. The record is from RNAcentral.